RNAcentral lists this ribosomal RNA (465 nucleotides) under Vreelandella stevensii. RNAcentral describes it as "partial 16S ribosomal RNA". It matches the Rfam family "Bacterial small subunit ribosomal RNA", at positions 338 to 795 of the family's 1533-position model. The record is from RNAcentral. Lineage: Bacteria; Pseudomonadati; Pseudomonadota; Gammaproteobacteria; Oceanospirillales; Halomonadaceae.
CCUACGGGCGGCUGCAGUGGGGAAUAUUGGACAAUGGGCGAAAGCCUGAUCCAGCCAUGCCGCGUGUGUGAAGAAGGCCUUCGGGUUGUAAAGCACUUUCAGUGGGGAAGAAAGCCUUGGGGCUAAUACCCUCGAGGAAGGACAUCACCCACAGAAGAAGCACCGGCUAACUCCGUGCCAGCAGCCGCGGUAAUACGGAGGGUGCGAGCGUUAAUCGGAAUUACUGGGCGUAAAGCGCGCGUAGGCGGUCUGAUAAGCCGGUUGUGAAAGCCCCGGGCUCAACCUGGGAACGGCAUCCGGAACUGUCAGGCUAGAGGGCAGGAGAGGAAGGUAGAAUUCCCGGUGUAGCGGUGAAAUGCGUAGAGAUCGGGAGGAAUACCAGUGGCGAAGGCGGCCUUCUGGACUGACACUGACGCUGAGGUGCGAAAGCGUGGGUAGCAAACAGGAUUAGAUACCCCAGUAGUC